UACGUAGGGUGCGAGCGUUGUCCGGAAUUAUUGGGCGUAAAGAGCUCGUAGGCGGCUUGUCGCGUCGGAUGUGAAAGCCCGGGGCUUAACUCCGGGUCUGCAUUCGAUACGGGCAGGCUAGAGUUCGGUAGGGGAGAUCGGAAUUCCUGGUGUAGCGGUGAAAUGCGCAGAUAUCAGGAGGAACACCGGUGGCGAAGGCGGAUCUCUGGGCCGAUACUGACGCUGAGGCGCGAAAGCGUGGGGAGCGAACCGG
This 253-nucleotide ribosomal RNA is filed under the name uncultured bacterium. RNAcentral's name for it is "partial 16S ribosomal RNA". It matches the Rfam family "Bacterial small subunit ribosomal RNA", at positions 524 to 776 of the family's 1533-position model. The record is from RNAcentral.